AUAGGAUCUCGUUGGAGAGGACAAAGCAAACACUACGCACACAUACCUUGAGGUGUCACAAUGACCAGAAGUAUUCACCCAGACUGUAUUUUCGGAUUACUGCAUUAUAGGAAAUUAUCACAGCCACCAGUGGGAAGACAGUCAGUGGAUGGAUCUUGGACAUGACCUUGCUCCUUAGUGACCCAUGACAGUCACCCUGGAGGCUGUUUCCUGAAGUGGCAACCCCAUGGCUCGGAUUUGUCCUCACCCACAACAUCACGUCCUGCUAUCUGCCUUUCCCA
Neogale vison (American mink) is the source of this 281-nucleotide long non-coding RNA. RefSeq lists it as uncharacterized. The record is from RefSeq and is a predicted model, not a curated record. NCBI's taxonomy places the organism in Eukaryota, Metazoa, Chordata, Mammalia, Carnivora, Mustelidae. The transcript is spliced from 3 exons.